This 468-nucleotide ribosomal RNA is filed under the name uncultured bacterium. RNAcentral describes it as "partial 16S ribosomal RNA". It matches the Rfam family "Bacterial small subunit ribosomal RNA", at positions 28 to 507 of the family's 1533-position model. The record is from RNAcentral.
GACGAACGCUGGCGGCGUGCUUAACACAUGCAAGUCGAACGGAAAGGCCCUGCUCUUGUGGGAUGCUCGAGUGGCGAACGGGUGAGUAACACGUGAGUAACCUGCCCCUGACUUUGGGAUAACUUCAGGAAACUGGGGCUAAUAUCGGAUAGGAGCUCCUGCUGCAUGGUGGGGGUUGGAAAGUUUCGGCGGUUGGGGAUGGACUCGCGGCCUAUCAGCUUGUUGGUGGGGUAGUGGCUUACCAAGGCUUUGACGGGUAGCCGGCCUGAGAGGGUGACCGGCCACAUUGGGACUGAGAUACGGCCCAGACUCCUACGGGAGGCAGCAGUGGGGAAUAUUGCACAAUGGGCGGAGGCCGGAUGCAGCAACGCCGGGUGCGGGAUGACGGCCUUCGGGUUGUAAACCGCUUUCGCCUGUGACGAAGCGUGAGUGACGGUAAUGGGUAAAGAAGCACCGGCUAACUACGUG